CCUCCCUCCCUCCCUCAGUCCCUCCCUCAGUCCCUCCCUCAGUCCCUCCCUCCCUCCCUGUUUACCCCCUUUCUCUAUCAGCCUUUCACACUUCCACAUCUUCGUAACGUCCAAUCAAGGAGCGACCUUGGAAUUACCUAUAUACUGCAUGUAUCCCGAUCAGCGCCCUGUUCCCUUCAGACUGUCCAGACCAGACCGGCCCUUUGGUUUUCCCUAUGUGGUGAAAAGGGGGCCAUUUGGGAUGCACACUGAGUUCUAACUCACCUUUAGGUUACCUUUGGCUGUGCUCCAUCCUGUCUGUUGGUCACACCUGGCUCGUUGGAGAUGAUCCACUGAGAACACUGAAACAUCCGUCUCCUCUGACAGGAGUCUUUCAGAAGACCUCCGACUGGGACAGGCUCUUGUGGGGUGUACUGGUGCAGACUUUAACAAUGCCACCUGUAAAGGAAUUUUGAUACUGCGCUAAAUACAAUGAACUUCUUUGCUAUCUGUUUUGUCCUGGUUUGGUUCAGUAAAAAAAAAAAGUCAGAAUGGAGAAAGCCCAGUUAAACCACUUCAAAGUCCUUUUUUCACCAUUCGUGCACCAAUCAAAACCACGUCUAUACAACUUGUAUUACUGGAAUGCCUCCAUUCCAAUAAGAAAUAGUGAUAUGGAAUUUCGACCCAUUUUACCCUGUUGACAUUUAGUAGACGUCUUUCUUUGACAGGGAGGUCUCUUAGUCGUGCUAUACAACUCAGUCAGGUGCUUCUUAGACCAAAACAAUGUCAGUAUUCUUUAAACUUUAAGAGGUCUCCCAUGGACAUUUGAGAGAGGGGAGGUUAAGUUUGCCGCUAUGGAGAGAAGUUAGCGCACAUCAUCUUUUUUAGAGAAGCGAUUGGCACUGCAUUGAUUUCUGUACACACUUUCUGUGGAAUCUAUACACCAAAUGUCUUUUCAAUGGAGAAGAGGGGAGGGUCUGGGGUGUUAAAGAAUAGAAUACAGUUCUGUGGUUUGUGUCCAAAUAGAAUCCCACGCAAUCUAGAAUCUCUUGGAGACAGUUCUGUAUGGUUGGUGUCCAAAUCCCACAGGUUCUAGAAUCUACGGGAUAAUGAUCUAUAUGGUGGGUGUCGAUAUAGAAUCCUGUUCGGUCUAGAUUCUAGAAUAUACAGGAUAGAAUUCUAUAUGGUUGCGAUCUAAGGACUGCAGUAAAUAAUAUUAAUAAACAUGUUUUCAAAUUAAUAUCAGAUUGGUGUUUGAGGGUGAAUGUGUGUGAGUGUGAGUGUGUGUGUGUUUGUUUCAGUGAGUGAGAGGUGCCCAGGUUUAGGCUCUAAUGCUGUGUUAGACAAGGCACAUAUAGGUUGGAUAAGCAAUAUGAUUUUUGUUUCUUGGGUUGGAGUUGGAGAAAUGGAGAGCUCAUUGGGUUUUGAUUGUAUUUGGUGAUUGAGAUGCACAUGUAUUGAUAGUGUUACAUCAGUAAAUUAUUUAUCCUAAAGCGGUUGACUACUGUGUUUUUUUGGAAGAAUACUGAGCGGGAGAGAGACAUGCGUGUGUGUGUGUGUGUGUGUGUGUGUGGGAGAGAGAGAAAAAAUUGUUUAUGAUUCAUGAUGUCGGACCGACUGACAGAAUUCACUUUGGUCUGGUCUGAGCUUGAGAUAACACACACACACACAAUGGAUUGUCCGAGGGCUCAGAAACUCUCCUGCCUUUAACCAUUCCCAAGGUCUG
This is a long non-coding RNA of Esox lucius (northern pike), 1705 nucleotides long. NCBI's taxonomy places the organism in Eukaryota, Metazoa, Chordata, Actinopteri, Esociformes, Esocidae. The record is from Ensembl.